This 1556-nucleotide long non-coding RNA is filed under the name Gossypium barbadense (sea-island cotton). RNAcentral's name for it is "long non-coding RNA (GBAR_LNC007751)". Lineage: Eukaryota; Viridiplantae; Streptophyta; Magnoliopsida; Malvales; Malvaceae. The record is from RNAcentral.
ACCAUUAAUAUUAUAAAUAAUAUAAACAAAAUAAAUAAAAAUGAAAAUAAAACAAGAAUGAACAUACAACAUUAAAUAAAAAACAGAAAAUAUAUAAGCGAAUAAAUCCAAAUUUACAACAGAAAUCUAAUAAAAUACUUAAGUGGAAACAAAGUAAAAUAAAAAGAAAAUUUACAAAAUAAGUAAAAAUAGAAAAGGAGACAAUAUGUAACACACAUGAAUCCACAGGGAUCAAUAUUGAGAUAAUCCCUGAUCAUGAAACAUUGUGUUGAAAUAUGGACUAAAACAUAAAAGUAUUCCAGAUUUUAGGGAUAAUUUAAAAGAAAAUAAAGUAAAUUAAAUGAAAAUAGGAGCAAAUUGCGCCGCAAUACAAGUACGAGGGACCUUCCGCGAAAUAAACCAAUUUAGGCGCAAAGGCACCAAUUCGGAGCCCCAGGCUGGUUAACGCGCGGACCUUGGCUCCUUCCCCUGUGCGGCGUCGUUUUAAUUGGCUACUACACUUCCCCUUUUAAUUGUUUUGCCUUCCAAAACACAGCAAACUUUUUAGCCCAAAAAAAAUAUGCUAUCAGCCCCUUUUUCUUAGGUUUCGCAUAACACAUUGCUACCGCCAUCAAGCCCUCAAGCCAUGAAGUCGAUUUAGCCUCGAACUUCUUUCUCUAACUCCGAUUUCAACGAAGCAAAGAAAGAUUCAUGGCAACUUUACAAAGUAAGAUUCCUUCUUUCACUCUUCUUUAUAUUUUGAAAUAUAAUACUGAAAUAUUGAAAAAGAAAAUGCAAUGAUUCUAAAAAAAGAAAUUAAAAGCGAGUAAAAAAACUGGAAAUCACCUUUCUAUUCUUACUUUCGAAAUAUUCAAUGUGCUAAUGUAAGUGUAUAUUCUGUGGAUGGGUCUGUGUAAUCCUUUUGCAGGUACAGAAUGAGGCUUUUAUAGCCUGGAUUUACAGAGAAAAUAGUAAAAAGAAAAAAAUAUUUUUCUUGCUGUCAUCUGCCCAUUUCUGUUAUUCCUUUCUUUCUGGUGUAUUCUCUUUGCAGGAACGGUUGUACGGAGGACCGACCCUGGUGACGUGGAGACCAAUCGUCAAAAAUUUUUUUACACGAGACUGACCUUUCGGUGACCUUCUGGUUUACUCCAGAAGCUUCCAGCAUCCUCAAGAUACUGAUACAAUUUUUCUUGCAUAUUAGGCCUCGGUUUUGGGCCGGAUUUAAGAUGUGGAUUGAUUUCAUUGGGCUUUAGAAUUUGGGCCAAAUAUUAUGUAAUUAGGGUUAAAGAACUUUGGGGUAUUUGGUUAAGAAAUGGGCUUAUUGUAAUUGGGUUUUAAUUUUUAUGUAAAGGGUUUUGGGGUAUUUAUUUAAUUGGGUUGGAUAUUUGUAAAUGGACUCUUUGGACUUAUUUAUUUUUGGAUUUUUAUUUUGGGUCUAUUUAUUUACAAAUGAGCCCGGGCAAAAAUGGGCCAUUACAACAAGCUUAAUAUACUCGCGCAAUAAUCAAAAUAUAUAUUGUAGAAUGAAUAUUUUCAAAGCACAUAAUUUAUAGAUUGACAAAUUUAUAUAGAAAAUA